This 484-nucleotide ribosomal RNA is filed under the name uncultured bacterium. RNAcentral's name for it is "partial 16S ribosomal RNA". It matches the Rfam family "Bacterial small subunit ribosomal RNA", at positions 30 to 507 of the family's 1533-position model. The record is from RNAcentral.
AUUGAACGCUGGCGGCAGGCCUAACACAUGCGAGUCGAGCGGAUGAAGGGAGCUUGCUCCUGGAUUCAGCGGCGGACGGGUGAGUAAUGCCUAGGAAUCUGCCUGGUAGUGGGGGAUAACGUCCGGAAACGGGCGCUAAUACCGCAUACGUCCUGAGGGAGAAAGUGGGGGAUCUUCGGACCUCACGCUAUCAGAUGAGCCUAGGUCGGAUUAGCUAGUUGGUGGGGUAAAGGCCUACCAAGGCGACGAUCCGUAACUGGUCUGAGAGGAUGAUCAGUCACACUGGAACUGAGACACGGUACAGACUCCUACGGGAGGCAGCAGUGGGGAAUUUUGGACAAUGGGCGAAAGCCUGAUCCAGCCAUGCCGCGUGUGUGAAGAAGGUCUUCGGAUUGUAAAGCAAUUUAAGUUGGGAGGAAGGGCAGUAAGUUUAUCCCUUGCUGUUUUGACGUUACCAACAGAAUAAGCACCGGCUAACUUCGUG